UACGUAGGGUGCAAGCGUUGUCCGGAAUUAUUGGGCGUAAAGAGCGCGCAGGCGGUCGAUCAAGUCGAGUGUGAAAGCCCCCGGCUCAACUGGGGAGGGUCAUUCGAUACUGAUCGACUCGAAGGCAGGAGAGGGUAGUGGAAUUCCCGGUGUAGUGGUGGAAUGCGUAGAUAUCGGGAGGAACACCAGUGGCGAAGGCGACUACCUGGCCUGUUCUUGACGCUGAGGCGCGAAAGCUAGGGGAGCAAACGGG
Molecule: ribosomal RNA, 253 nt
Filed under: uncultured bacterium
Lineage: Bacteria
Description: partial 16S ribosomal RNA
Rfam family: Bacterial small subunit ribosomal RNA
Source: RNAcentral